RNAcentral lists this ribosomal RNA (405 nucleotides) under uncultured bacterium. Its description in RNAcentral is "partial 16S ribosomal RNA". It matches the Rfam family "Bacterial small subunit ribosomal RNA", at positions 28 to 526 of the family's 1533-position model. The record is from RNAcentral.
GACGAACGCUGGCGGCGUGCUUAACACAUGCAAGUCGAGCGGAGCGGCGAACGGGUGAGUAACGCGUGAGUAACUGCCCCCCUCUCUGGGAUAACAGUUGGAAACGGCUGCUAAUACCGGAUAGUGGGGGAUGACUCGGGUCCCAUCAGCUUGUGGGUGGGGUAGUGGCCUACCAAGGCGACGACGGGUAGCCCGCCUGGGAGGGCGACCGGCCACAUGGGGCUGAGGGACGGCCCAGACGCCAACGGGAGGCAGCGGUGGGGAAUAUUGCACAGCGGGGGAAAGCCUGAUGCAGCGGCGCCGCGUGCGGGAUGCCGGCCUUCGGGUUGUAAACCGCUUUCAGCCAUGACGCGGUAGUGGCAGAAGAAGCACCGGCUAACUACGUGCCAGCAGCCGCGGUAAUAC